AGAACGAACGCUGGCGGCAUGCCUAAUACAUGCAAGUCGAACGAACUCUUCGGAGUUAGUGGCGCACGGGUGCGUAACGCGUGGGAAUCUGCCCCUUGGUUCGGAAUAACAGUUGGAAACGACUGCUAAUACCGGAUGAUGACGAAAGUCCAAAGAUUUAUCGCCAAGGGAUGAGCCCGCGUAGGAUUAGCUAGUUGGUGAGGUAAGGCUCACCAAGGCAACGAUCCUUAGCUGGUCUGAGAGGAUGAUCAGCCACACUGGGACUGAGACACGGCCCAGACUCCUACGGGAGGCAGCAGUAGGGAAUAUAGGACAAUGGGACAAGCCUAGAUCCAGCAAUGCCGCGUGAGUGAGUGAAGGUCCGUUAAGGUUGUAAAGUCGUACGUUUUACCGAGUAGUGAAUAA
RNAcentral lists this ribosomal RNA (405 nucleotides) under uncultured soil bacterium. Its description in RNAcentral is "bacterial SSU rRNA". It matches the Rfam family "Bacterial small subunit ribosomal RNA", at positions 26 to 452 of the family's 1533-position model. The record is from RNAcentral.